Molecule: ribosomal RNA, 2904 nt
Filed under: Escherichia coli
Lineage: Bacteria; Pseudomonadati; Pseudomonadota; Gammaproteobacteria; Enterobacterales; Enterobacteriaceae
Description: 23S ribosomal RNA
Rfam family: Bacterial large subunit ribosomal RNA
Source: RNAcentral
GGUUAAGCGACUAAGCGUACACGGUGGAUGCCCUGGCAGUCAGAGGCGAUGAAGGACGUGCUAAUCUGCGAUAAGCGUCGGUAAGGUGAUAUGAACCGUUAUAACCGGCGAUUUCCGAAUGGGGAAACCCAGUGUGUUUCGACACACUAUCAUUAACUGAAUCCAUAGGUUAAUGAGGCGAACCGGGGGAACUGAAACAUCUAAGUACCCCGAGGAAAAGAAAUCAACCGAGAUUCCCCCAGUAGCGGCGAGCGAACGGGGAGGAGCCCAGAGCCUGAAUCAGUGUGUGUGUUAGUGGAAGCGUCUGGAAAGGCGCGCGAUACAGGGUGACAGCCCCGUACACAAAAAUGCACAUAUUGUGAGCUCGAUGAGUAGGGCGGGACACGUGGUAUCCUGUCUGAAUAUGGGGGGACCAUCCUCCAAGGCUAAAUACUCCUGACUGACCGAUAGUGAACCAGUACCGUGAGGGAAAGGCGAAAAGAACCCCGGCGAGGGGAGUGAAAAAGAACCUGAAACCGUGUACGUACAAGCAGUGGGAGCCUCUUAAUGGGGUGACUGCGUACCUUUUGUAUAAUGGGUCAGCGACUUAUAUUCUGUAGCAAGGUUAACCGAAUAGGGGAGCCGAAGGGAAACCGAGUCUUAACUGGGCGUUAAGUUGCAGGGUAUAGACCCGAAACCCGGUGAUCUAGCCAUGGGCAGGUUGAAGGUUGGGUAACACUAACUGGAGGACCGAACCGACUAAUGUUGAAAAAUUAGCGGAUGACUUGUGGCUGGGGGUGAAAGGCCAAUCAAACCGGGAGAUAGCUGGUUCUCCCCGAAAGCUAUUUAGGUAGCGCCUCGUGAAUUCAUCUCCGGGGGUAGAGCACUGUUUCGGCAAGGGGGUCAUCCCGACUUACCAACCCGAUGCAAACUGCGAAUACCGGAGAAUGUUAUCACGGGAGACACACGGCGGGUGCUAACGUCCGUCGUGAAGAGGGAAACAACCCAGACCGCCAGCUAAGGUCCCAAAGUCAUGGUUAAGUGGGAAACGAUGUGGGAAGGCCCAGACAGCCAGGAUGUUGGCUUAGAAGCAGCCAUCAUUUAAAGAAAGCGUAAUAGCUCACUGGUCGAGUCGGCCUGCGCGGAAGAUGUAACGGGGCUAAACCAUGCACCGAAGCUGCGGCAGCGACACUAUGUGUUGUUGGGUAGGGGAGCGUUCUGUAAGCCUGUGAAGGUAGCCUGUGAGGGUUGCUGGAGGUAUCAGAAGUGCGAAUGCUGACAUAAGUAACGAUAAAGCGGGUGAAAAGCCCGCUCGCCGGAAGACCAAGGGUUCCUGUCCAACGUUAAUCGGGGCAGGGUGAGUCGACCCCUAAGGCGAGGCCGAAAGGCGUAGUCGAUGGGAAACAGGUUAAUAUUCCUGUACUUGGUGUUACUGCGAAGGGGGGACGGAGAAGGCUAUGUUGGUCGGGCGACGGUUGUCCCGGUUUAAGCGUGUAGGCUGGUUUUCCAGGCAAAUCCGGAAAACCAAGGCUGAGGCGUGAUGACGAGGCACUACGGUGCUGAAGCGACAAAUGCCCUGCUUCCAGGAAAAGCCUCUAAGCAUCAGGUAACAUCAAAUCGUACCCCAAACCGACACAGGUGGUCAGGUAGAGAAUACCAAGGCGCUUGAGAGAACUCGGGUGAAGGAACUAGGCAAAAUGGUGCCGUAACUUCGGGAGAAGGCACGCUGAUAUGUAGGUGAAGCGACUUGCUCGUGGAGCUGAAAUCAGUCGAAGAUACCAGCUGGCUGCAACUGUUUAUUAAAAACACAGCACUGUGCAAACACGAAAGUGGACGUAUACGGUGUGACGCCUGCCCGGUGCCGGAAGGUUAAUUGAUGGGGUUAGCGGUAACGCGAAGCUCUUGAUCGAAGCCCCGGUAAACGGCGGCCGUAACUAUAACGGUCCUAAGGUAGCGAAAUUCCUUGUCGGGUAAGUUCCGACCUGCACGAAUGGCGUAAUGAUGGCCAGGCUGUCUCCACCCGAGACUCAGUGAAAUUGAACUCGCUGUGAAGAUGCAGUGUACCCGCGGCAAGACGGAAAGACCCCGUGAACCUUUACUAUAGCUUGACACUGAACAUUGAGCCUUGAUGUGUAGGAUAGGUGGGAGGCUUUGAAGUGUGGACGCCAGUCUGCAUGGAGCCGACCUUGAAAUACCACCCUUUAAUGUUUGAUGUUCUAACGUUGGCCCGUAAUCCGGGUUGCGGACAGUGUCUGGUGGGUAGUUUGACUGGGGCGGUCUCCUCCUAAAGAGUAACGGAGGAGCACGAAGGUUGGCUAAUCCUGGUCGGACAUCAGGAGGUUAGUGCAAUGGCAUAAGCCAGCUUGACUGCGAGCGUGACGGCGCGAGCAGGUGCGAAAGCAGGUCAUAGUGAUCCGGUGGUUCUGAAUGGAAGGGCCAUCGCUCAACGGAUAAAAGGUACUCCGGGGAUAACAGGCUGAUACCGCCCAAGAGUUCAUAUCGACGGCGGUGUUUGGCACCUCGAUGUCGGCUCAUCACAUCCUGGGGCUGAAGUAGGUCCCAAGGGUAUGGCUGUUCGCCAUUUAAAGUGGUACGCGAGCUGGGUUUAGAACGUCGUGAGACAGUUCGGUCCCUAUCUGCCGUGGGCGCUGGAGAACUGAGGGGGGCUGCUCCUAGUACGAGAGGACCGGAGUGGACGCAUCACUGGUGUUCGGGUUGUCAUGCCAAUGGCACUGCCCGGUAGCUAAAUGCGGAAGAGAUAAGUGCUGAAAGCAUCUAAGCACGAAACUUGCCCCGAGAUGAGUUCUCCCUGACUCCUUGAGAGUCCUGAAGGAACGUUGAAGACGACGACGUUGAUAGGCCGGGUGUGUAAGCGCAGCGAUGCGUUGAGCUAACCGGUACUAAUGAACCGUGAGGCUUAACCUU